AGAGGAGGCGGUGGGGUUAGGCCCAGCCUCUCUCGGGCUGAGGAAGCAGAGUUUUGCCUGCACUUUGGGAAGCCUGGUUGUGUCCUUGUCCGAAGAGGAAGGAAAGAGGAGUAAGAUGGAACAGGUCAAACUUAUAUCUGGGUAAUGUGUGUUUACGCGGACAGCUUCCUCUGGGAGUGAGUGCACACGUUUUUUAUGCAAAAGGAUUAGUGUCUGCUUCAGGCGACUGUAAGUGGCCAGAAAGCAAAUUGCAGCCCAGGCCUCUAGAAGAAGGAAGAAAAAAAAGAAACGGCACCAAUUUGUCUGCCGGUUCGCACACAGUUGAACAAAACCUUGAAAAUGUAUACGCACAAGCUGAAAUCCAGGCUACAAAAGGAAAGGACAGCGAGAAAGCCUCUACCAGGGAAACCAACCUCACUUAGGGUCCAGGAAGCCCUUACGAAUGUAGGAAGGGCAAAUGAUGAGGAAACUGAGCUCAGAGGAGUCAUCAUAUGCCUGAAACUGGAAAAGCUGGAGCAGAAUUCAAAAGAAUCUAAACUGUUGCUCCUUCAAAUCGCCUGGGGCUACUGCUCUGACGCCUCUCUACCUGCCUUUCUUUCUCACACUGUCUAUAAACCUGUAUUUCCAAGAAGACUUCCAGGAUUCCCUUCCAGGGUAGACUGUGUCCUGCCUCAUCUGUGCUUUUAACUGUGUUCAAUUUUUACAGUCUUUAAUUGUGUUCACUUAGUUCAAGUCACCCUUCAGCUCAAAAUCCUCACUCAGAAUAAAACCUAAAAUCUCAACGAGGCCUA
Molecule: non-coding RNA, 791 nt
Organism: Leptonychotes weddellii (Weddell seal)
Lineage: Eukaryota; Metazoa; Chordata; Mammalia; Carnivora; Phocidae
Source: RefSeq, a predicted model, not a curated record